This 763-nucleotide ribosomal RNA is filed under the name uncultured marine microorganism. RNAcentral describes it as "bacterial SSU rRNA". It matches the Rfam family "Bacterial small subunit ribosomal RNA", at positions 8 to 803 of the family's 1533-position model. The record is from RNAcentral.
AGAGUUUGAUCAUGGCUCAGAGCGAACGCUGGCGGCAGGCUUAACACAUGCAAGUCGAACGAUAAGCUAGACUUCGGUUUAGUGGACAGUGGCAGACGGGUGAGUAACGCGUGGGAAUCUACCUUUGAGUGGGGAAUAACAAUUAGAAAUGAUUGCUAAUACCGCAUAUACCCUCCGGGGGAAAGGCUUCGGCCGCUCUUAGAUGAGCCCGCGUACGAUUAGUUUGUUGGUGAGGUAAUGGCUCACCAAGAUUACGAUCGUUAGCUGGUUUGAGAGGAUGAUCAGCCACACUGGGACUGAGACACGGCCCAGACUCCUACGGGAGGCAGCAGUGGGGAAUAUUGGACAAUGGGCGAAAGCCUGAUCCAGCCAUGCCGCGUGAGUGAAGAAGGCCUUAGGGUUGUAAAACUCUUUCGACAGGGAAGAUAAUGACGGUACCUGUAUAAGAAGCUCCGGCUAACUCCGUGCCAGCAGCCGCGGUAAUACGGAGGGGGCAAGCGUUGCUCGGAAUUACUGGGCGUAAAGCGUGCGUAGGCGGUUAAUCAAGUUGGUGGUGAAAGCCCGGAGCUCAACUCCGGAACUGCCAUCAAAACUGAUUAACUAGAGAUUGGUAGAGGAAAAUGGAAUUCCUAGUGUAGAGGUGAAAUUCGUAGAUAUUAGGAAGAACAUCGGUGGCGAAGGCGAUUUUCUGGGCCAAAUCUGACGCUGAGGUUCGAAAGCGUGGGUAGCAAACAGGAUUAGAUACCCUGGUAGUCCACGCCGU